Molecule: ribosomal RNA, 493 nt
Filed under: uncultured Polynucleobacter sp.
Lineage: Bacteria; Pseudomonadati; Pseudomonadota; Betaproteobacteria; Burkholderiales; Burkholderiaceae
Description: bacterial SSU rRNA
Rfam family: Bacterial small subunit ribosomal RNA
Source: RNAcentral
AGAGUUUGAUCCUGGCUCAGAUUGAACGCUGGCGGCAUGCCUUACACAUGCAAGUCGAACGGCAGCACGGGGGCAACCCUGGUGGCGAGUGGCGAACGGGUGAGUAAUACAUCGGAAUGUACCCAGUAGCGGGGGAUAACUACUCGAAAGAGUUGCUAAUACCGCAUACGCCCUAAGGGGGAAAGGGGGGGAUCGCAAGACCUCUCACUAUUGGAGCAGCCGAUGUCAGAUUAGCUUGUUGGUGAGGUAAAAGCUCACCAAGGCGACGAUCUGUAACUGGUCUGAGAGGACGACCAGUCACACUGGAACUGAGACACGGUCCAGACUCCUACGGGAGGCAGCAGUGGGGAAUUUUGGACAAUGGGGGCAACCCUGAUCCAGCAAUGCCGCGUGAGUGAAGAAGGCCUUCGGGUUGUAAAGCUCUUUUGUCAGGGAAGAAACGGUGUCCACUAAUACUGGGCGCUAAUGACGGUACCGAAGAAUAGCGAUCCCC